UACGGAGGGAGCUAGCGUUGUUCGGAAUUACUGGGCGUAAAGCGCACGUAGGCGGCUUUGUAAGUUAGAGGUGAAAGCCCGGGGCUCAACUCCGGAACUGCCUUUAAGACUGCAUCGCUUGAAUCCAGGAGAGGUGAGUGGAAUUCCGAGUGUAGAGGUGAAAUUCGUAGAUAUUCGGAAGAACACCAGUGGCGAAGGCGGCUCACUGGCCCGAUACUGACGCUGAGGCACGAAAGCGUGGGGAGCAAACAGG
This 253-nucleotide ribosomal RNA is filed under the name uncultured bacterium. RNAcentral's name for it is "partial 16S ribosomal RNA". It matches the Rfam family "Bacterial small subunit ribosomal RNA", at positions 524 to 776 of the family's 1533-position model. The record is from RNAcentral.